Molecule: ribosomal RNA, 120 nt
Filed under: Pteropus alecto (black flying fox)
Lineage: Eukaryota; Metazoa; Chordata; Mammalia; Chiroptera; Pteropodidae
Source: RNAcentral
GUCUACGGCCAUGCCACCCAGAACGUGCCCGAUCCCGUCUGAUCUCGGAAGCUAAGCGGGGUCGGGCCUGGUUAGUACUUGGAUGGGAGACCACCUAGGAAAACCAGACCCUGGUAAGCG